RNAcentral lists this ribosomal RNA (253 nucleotides) under uncultured bacterium. RNAcentral's name for it is "partial 16S ribosomal RNA". It matches the Rfam family "Bacterial small subunit ribosomal RNA", at positions 524 to 776 of the family's 1533-position model. The record is from RNAcentral.
UACGGAGGGUGCGAGCGUUAAUCGGAAUUACUGGGCGUAAAGGGUGCGUAGGUGGUUUAGUAAGUUAUCUGUGAAAUUCCUGGGCUCAACCUGGGCAGGUCAGAUAAAACUGUUAGACUCGAGUAUGGGAGAGGGUAGUGGAAUUUCCGGUGUAGCGGUGAAAUGCGUAGAGAUCGGAAGGAACACCAGUGGCGAAGGCGGCUACCUGGCCUAAUACUGACACUGAGGCACGAAAGCGUGGGGAGCAAACAGG